RNAcentral lists this ribosomal RNA (446 nucleotides) under uncultured bacterium. Its description in RNAcentral is "SSU rRNA". It matches the Rfam family "Bacterial small subunit ribosomal RNA", at positions 26 to 518 of the family's 1533-position model. The record is from RNAcentral.
AGAGCGAACGCUGGCGGCAGGCUUAACACAUGCAAGUCGAGCGGGCGUAGCAAUACGUCAGCGGCAGACGGGUGAGUAACGCGUGGGAACGUACCUUUUGGUUCGGAACAACCCAGGGAAACUUGGGCUAAUACCGGAUAAGCCCUUACGGGGAAAGAUUUAUCGCCGAAAGAUCGGCCCGCGUCUGAUUAGCUAGUUGGUGAGGUAAUGGCUCACCAAGGCGACGAUCAGUAGCUGGUCUGAGAGGAUGAUCAGCCACAUUGGGACUGAGACACGGCCCAAACUCCUACGGGAGGCAGCAGUGGGGAAUAUUGGACAAUGGGCGCAAGCCUGAUCCAGCCAUGCCGCGUGAGUGAUGAAGGCCCUAGGGUUGUAAAGCUCUUUUGUGCGGAAGAUAAUGACGGUACCGCAAGAAUAAGCCCCGGCUAACUCGUGCCAGCAGCCGC